Molecule: non-coding RNA, 28 nt
Filed under: Gelidibacter mesophilus DSM 14095
Lineage: Bacteria; Pseudomonadati; Bacteroidota; Flavobacteriia; Flavobacteriales; Flavobacteriaceae
Description: L19-Flavobacteria ribosomal protein leader
Rfam family: L19-Flavobacteria ribosomal protein leader
Source: RNAcentral
UAACCUCUGACGAUUUACGUGAAUGUUG